UACAGAGGUGGCAAGCGUUGUUCGGAAUUACUGGGCGUAAAGGGCGCGUAGGCGGCCUUCUAAGUCAGACGUGAAAUCCCCAGGCUUAACUUGGGAACUGCGUCUGAUACUGGGAGGCUUGAGUGCGGGAGAGGGAUGUGGAAUUCCAGGUGUAGCGGUGAAAUGCGUAGAUAUUGGGAGGAAUACCAGUGGCGAAGGCGGCUCCCUGGACCGGUACUGACGCUGAGGCGCGAAAGCGUGGGUAGCAAACAGG
RNAcentral lists this ribosomal RNA (253 nucleotides) under uncultured bacterium. Its description in RNAcentral is "partial 16S ribosomal RNA". It matches the Rfam family "Bacterial small subunit ribosomal RNA", at positions 524 to 776 of the family's 1533-position model. The record is from RNAcentral.